RNAcentral lists this ribosomal RNA (186 nucleotides) under uncultured bacterium. RNAcentral describes it as "partial 16S ribosomal RNA". It matches the Rfam family "Bacterial small subunit ribosomal RNA", at positions 1315 to 1500 of the family's 1533-position model. The record is from RNAcentral.
CCUGCAUGAAGCUGGAAUUGCUAGUAAUCGCGGAUCAGCAAGCCGCGGUGAAUACGUUCCCGGGCCUUGUACACACCGCCCGUCACACCAUGAGAGUCGGGAACACCCGAAGUCCGUAGUCUAACCGCAAGGGGGGCGCGGCCGAAGGUGGGUCCGGUAAUUGGGGUGAAGUCGUAACAAGGUAUC